This is a long non-coding RNA of Lynx canadensis (Canada lynx), 761 nucleotides long. RefSeq lists it as uncharacterized. Lineage: Eukaryota; Metazoa; Chordata; Mammalia; Carnivora; Felidae. The record is from RefSeq and is a predicted model, not a curated record. The transcript is spliced from 2 exons.
GCAGAGAAAAGACAUCAAAACUUCCUACUCUUCUCUACCCUGAAUUCUGGUGUAUCCCCAGGCAGAAGCAGUGAAUCCUGAGGUGAGGGACUGGGCUUAGGUUGAGGCUUGGGUUGAGUGAGGUUUCUGAGCAAGUCACGAGUGGGGGUGGUGGCUGGAGGAGGGGUUGGGUAGGCACUAGGGGUGGGAGUAGGGACUAGGGUAAACACCUAAAAAUCAGCUAUGCUCCCUUAUAUCCUCUCCCCUCCCCCCAACUCUACUUUUCUCUUCUGCUUUUGACAGCAGCCAGGCACGGGAUCCAGUUACCAAAUCAGCGUUUUUGCAGAGGUCUCGUGGGUCAGAGGUGGCUGACUUCCUGAUUUGGCUGAGAAGGGCGGGGAUUCCUGGAGGUGUGGAAGGAGAGGACCCCUCCAGAGGUAAGUGGAGCUUCCCGAGUGGGUGGGACCUGCUCAGGCGUAGGAUUUUAUGACUGUGGGGGAUGGACCUCCAGAGGGAAGGUGGGGCCUUCCUGGAUGGUGGGUGGGGCUUUCUGAGCGUAAAGUUGAGCUUCCUAAAAGAUAGGUGGGACUUCUUCGAUUAAAAUGGGUAGCUUCGGACUUCUGGAAUGUAUUCGCAAGUGGAAUUUGGGCUUUGUGUGCGGGGGAAGAGGGAGUUCCUAAGUUGAGUAGGUAAGGCACGGAGUUUCCCGGUUUGGGUUUGAAACAUGAGGCAUUUAAAGUGACAGUGAGUGCUUGUAGUAGGUCUUAAGGUUGCUCGGUGAG